Molecule: non-coding RNA, 21 nt
Filed under: Caenorhabditis elegans
Lineage: Eukaryota; Metazoa; Nematoda; Chromadorea; Rhabditida; Rhabditidae
Source: RNAcentral
UUCAUCUUCACUAUAUACAAA